RNAcentral lists this ribosomal RNA (253 nucleotides) under uncultured bacterium. RNAcentral's name for it is "partial 16S ribosomal RNA". It matches the Rfam family "Bacterial small subunit ribosomal RNA", at positions 524 to 776 of the family's 1533-position model. The record is from RNAcentral.
UACAGAGGGUGCGAGCGUUAAUCGGAAUUACUGGGCGUAAAGCGCACGUAGUCGGCUUUGCAAGUCGGGUGUGAAAUCCCCGGGCUCAACCUGGGAACUGCAUCCGAGACCGCAUUGCUAGAGUAUGGGAGAGGGAAGCGGAAUUUCUGGUGUAGCAGUGAAAUGCGUAGAUAUCAGAAGGAACAUCAGUGGCGAAGGCGGCUUCCUGGACCAAUACUGACGAUCAGGUGCGAAAGCGUGGGGAGCAAACAGG